This is a long non-coding RNA of Oncorhynchus keta (chum salmon), 2258 nucleotides long. RefSeq lists it as uncharacterized. Lineage: Eukaryota; Metazoa; Chordata; Actinopteri; Salmoniformes; Salmonidae. The transcript has 4 exons. The record is from RefSeq and is a predicted model, not a curated record.
UGUCUUGCUAAUUGCCUAUAAUUUCCACCUGUUGUCUAUUCCAUUUGCACAACAGCACGUGAAAUGUAUUGUCAAUCAGUGUUGCUUCCUAAGUGGACAGUUUGAUUUCACAGAAGUGUGAUUGACUUGGAGUUACAUUGUGUUGUUUAAGUGUUCCCUUUAUUUUUUUUAGCAGUAAUAUAUAACAUUUAAUAACAUUUAAUCCAUUUUAGAACAACCUGUAACAUAACAAACAUAUGUAUAAAACAAAGAACAACUUGGUAAAAGAAAAAGCUAAACUGUAUAUUAAAAUGAUUGUGGAAAUUCAACUGUCAUCUAAAGGCAUAUUCUAAUAAGAAACCUGGAACUUACUCCUGCCCUUUCCACGUCUCUCUCAAUCUCUCCAGCCACAGUUUGUUAUCUACUAAUGAGCACGUCAGAGCAGGUUCCCAAGACGCCAGAGGAAACACAAAGGUAGGAACAACAGUCCAACUUCAAUGUGGUUACUCCUAACUAACCUUGUGGAGGUUGACAAAAGGGAGACUUGUUUCUUCAGACAGCUCCUGUGUGUUCUCUCUUUGGGGUUAAAGGGAUACUUUGGGAUUUUGACAAUGAGGCUAUUUAUCUAAGACAGGUGUCUGUAGGGCAGCAAACACAGGCUGGUAGGGUAUAGGUCAGGCCUGGUAUAGUUCUAAUUGUUGUAAUCUCAGACAGGUGUCUGUAGGGCAGCAAACACAGGCUGGUAGGGUAUAGGUCAGGCCUGGUAUAGUUCUAAUUGUUGUAAUCUCAGACAGGUGUCUGUAGGGCAGCAAACACAGGCUGGUAGGGUAUAGGUCAGGCCUGGUAUAGUUCUAAUUGUUGUAAUCUCAGACAGGUGUCUGUAGGGCAGCAAACACAGGCUGGUAGGGUAUAGGUCAGGCCUGGUAUAGUUCUAAUUGUUGUAAUCUCAGACAGGUGUCUGUAGGGCAGCAAACACAGGCUGGUAGGGUAUAGGUCAGGCCUGGUAUAGUUCUAAUUGUUGUAAUCUCAGACAGGUGUCUAUAGGGCAGCAAACACAGGCUGGUAGGGUAUAGGUCAGGCCUGGUAUAGUUCUAAUUGUUGUAAUCUCAGAUAGUUGUCUAUAGGGCAGCAAACACAGGCUGGUAGGGUAUAGGUCAGGCCUGGUAUAGUUCUAAUUGUUGUAAUCUCAGAUAGUUGUCUAUAGGGCAGCAAACACAGGCUUUGAACUCCAUUGGUGGAAACAAAUGUAAAUGAGGAGUUAGAUGCAAAGUCCAUAUUUACAUACAUGUGCAGCAUCACAGUGAGCAGUCAUGACAGUGAAUGGCCUGUACAGUAUAAGGGUUGUUGGCUGAUAAUAACUCUACAUGAAGUUGUUUUUAACUCUGUGACAGGAACAUUUAAACUGAAAUCCAGACAUGUGUUCUGUAAUGUAACUUUCAAUCCUCACCACUGAAAUAUGAAUAUUGUAAUAUCCUAAUGGGCACAACAAAAGAACAAAUAACCAGGGUGUGGUGUCAACAUUUUGAGGUGGACCUCAACCAUGGAGACAACCAGAGACUAAACAACAGCACACACAUAGUAUAGAUCUGGAAUGUGAUAGAAUAGACAAACAUCUAGCGGCACGCCACACAUCAGCACGCACCAAGGCCACAUGUUACUGGGUAGGGUAUAGGAGACAGCUGCUAUAGUUACUGGGUAGGGUAUAGGAGACAGCUGCUAUAGUUACUGGGUAGGGUAUAUAGGAGACAGCUGCUAUAGUUACUGUGUAGGGUAUAGGAGACAGCUGCUAUAGUUACUGGGUAGGGUAUAGGAGACAGCUGCUAUAGUUACUGUGUAGGGUAUAGGAGACAGCUGCUAUAGUUACUGGGUAGGGUAUAGGAGACAGCUGCUAUAGUUACUGGGUAGGGUAUAGGAGACAGCUGCUAUAGUUACUGGGUAGGGUAUAGGAGACAGCUGCUAUAGUUACUGGGUAGGGUAUAGGAGACAGCUGCUAUAGUUACUGGGUAGGGUAUAGGAGACAGCUGCUGUAGUUACUGUGUAGGGUAUAGGUAGACAGCUGCUAUAGUUACUGGGUAGGGUAUAGGAGACAGCUGCUAUAGUUACUGGGUAGGGCAUAGGAGACAGCUGCUAUAGUUACUGGGUAGGGUAUAGGUAGACAGCUGCUAUAGUUACUGUGUAGGGUAUAGGUAGACAGCUGCUAUAGUUACUGGGUAGGGUAUAGGAGACAGCUGCUAUAGUUACUGGGUAGGGUAUAGGAGACAGCUGCUAUAGUUACUGUG